This is a small nuclear RNA of Ochotona curzoniae (black-lipped pika), 116 nucleotides long. RefSeq annotates it as U5 spliceosomal RNA. The record is from RefSeq and is a predicted model, not a curated record. NCBI's taxonomy places the organism in Eukaryota, Metazoa, Chordata, Mammalia, Lagomorpha, Ochotonidae. The transcript has a single exon.
AUAUUCUGGUUUCUUUUCAGAUCAUAUAAAUCUUUGGCCUUUUACUGAAGUUAUCCAUGGAGAGAAGCCCUGAUGAAAUCCUUCCGGCUUGUUAAACAGGAAAGAAGUUUUUUUUU